This 903-nucleotide ribosomal RNA is filed under the name uncultured bacterium. RNAcentral's name for it is "bacterial SSU rRNA". It matches the Rfam family "Bacterial small subunit ribosomal RNA", at positions 33 to 927 of the family's 1533-position model. The record is from RNAcentral.
ACGCUAGCUACAGGCUUAACACAUGCAAGUCGAGGGGAAACGGCAUUAAGUGCUCGCACUUUUUGGACGUCGACCGGCGCACGGGUGAGUAACGCGUAUCCAACCUUCCCAUGACUAAGGGAUAACCUGCCGAAAGGCAGACUAAUACCUUAUGGUCUUCACUGACGGCAUCAGAUGUGUAGUAAAGAUUUAUCGGUUAUGGAUGGGGAUGCGUCUGAUUAGCUUGUUGGCGGGGUAACGGCCCACCAAGGCAACGAUCAGUAGGGGUUCUGAGAGGAAGGUCCCCCACAUUGGAACUGAGGCACGGUCCAAACUCCUACGGGAGGCAGCAGUGAGGAAUAUUGGUCAAUGGGCGAGAGCCUGAACCAGCCAAGUAGCGUGCAGGAUGACGGCCCUAUGGGUUGUAAACUGCUUUUGUAUGGGGAUAAAGUCAAUCACGUGUGAUUGUUUGCAGGUACCAUACGAAUAAGGACCGGCUAAUUCCGUGCCAGCAGCCGCGGUAAUACGGAAGGUCCGGGCGUUAUCCGGAUUUAUUGGGUUUAAAGGGAGCGUAGGCUGGAGAUUAAGUGUGUUGUGAAAUGUAGACGCUCAACGUCUGACUUGCAGCGCAUACUGGUUUCCUUGAGUACGCACAACGUUGGCGGAAUUCGUCGUGUAGCGGUGAAAUGCUUAGAUAUGACGAAGAACUCCGAUUGCGAAGGCAGCUGACGGGAGCGCAACUGACGCUGAAGCUCGAAGGUGCGGGUAUCGAACAGGAUUAGAUACCCUGGUAGUCCGCACAGUAAACGAUGGAUGCCCGCUGUUGGUACCUGGUAUCAGCGGCUAAGCGAAAGCAUUAAGCAUCCCACCUGGGGAGUACGCCGGCAACGGUGAAACUCAAAGGAAUUGACGGGGGCCCGCACA